GGGGCUAUGGCUCAGUGGAAGAGCCUCUGCUUUGCAUGCAGAAGAUGCCAGGUUCAAUCCCCAGUAUUUCCA
RNAcentral lists this transfer RNA (72 nucleotides) under Sphaerodactylus townsendi. Its description in RNAcentral is "tRNA-Ala". It matches the Rfam family "tRNA". Rfam says of the family: Transfer RNA (tRNA) molecules are approximately 80 nucleotides in length. Their secondary structure includes four short double-helical elements and three loops (D, anti-codon, and T loops). Lineage: Eukaryota; Metazoa; Chordata; Lepidosauria; Squamata; Sphaerodactylidae. The record is from RNAcentral.